Molecule: ribosomal RNA, 658 nt
Filed under: Escherichia coli
Lineage: Bacteria; Pseudomonadati; Pseudomonadota; Gammaproteobacteria; Enterobacterales; Enterobacteriaceae
Description: partial 23S ribosomal RNA
Rfam family: Bacterial large subunit ribosomal RNA
Source: RNAcentral
CGAGGAAAAGAAAUCAACCGAGAUUCCCCCAGUAGCGGCGAGCGAACGGGGAGCAGCCCAGAGCCUGAAUCAGUAUGUGUGUUAGUGGAAGCGUCUGGAAAGGCGCGCGAUACAGGGUGACAGCCCCGUACACAAAAAUGCACAUGCUGUGAGCUCGAUGAGUAGGGCGGGACACGUGGUAUCCUGUCUGAAUAUGGGGGGACCAUCCUCCAAGGCUAAAUACUCCUGACUGACCGAUAGUGAACCAGUACCGUGAGGGAAAGGCGAAAAGAACCCCGGCGAGGGGAGUGAAAAAGAACCUGAAACCGUGUACGUACAAGCAGUGGGAGCACGCUUAGGCGUGUGACUGCGUACCUUUUGUAUAAUGGGUCAGCGACUUAUAUUCUGUAGCAAGGUUAACCGAAUAGGGGAGCCGAAGGGAAACCGAGUCUUAACUGGGCGUUAAGUUGCAGGGUAUAGACCCGAAACCCGGUGAUCUAGCCAUGGGCAGGUUGAAGGUUGGGUAACACUAACUGGAGGACCGAACCGACUAAUGUUGAAAAAUUAGCGGAUGACUUGUGGCUGGGGGUGAAAGGCCAAUCAAACCGGGAGAUAGCUGGUUCUCCCCGAAAGCUAUUUAGGUAGCGCCUCGUGAAUUCAUCUCCGGGGGUAGAGCACU